Molecule: RNA transcript, 627 nt
Organism: Eubalaena glacialis (North Atlantic right whale)
Lineage: Eukaryota; Metazoa; Chordata; Mammalia; Artiodactyla; Balaenidae
Gene: RPS15A
Gene name: ribosomal protein S15a
Exons: 4
Source: RefSeq, a predicted model, not a curated record
CUGAACGAUCUAGUAUCAUCCGUCGGCUAUUGGUGCCAUCCGAUGGUCUAGGACUCGGCUUCGGUGCCGUGCGAGGAUGCCGGAGACCUCCUGGGCCGGGGAUACUAUCCUUGCGGUGGUCUGGCAGGCGGAGGCGGGGUCCUGCCCGGCCGCCCCAUGCUCUGCAGUCUGGGGAGCCCGGUCUCGGGGGCGCAGGCCGCAGCCCUGGCGGGACCCGGAGCUUUGGACCGUCAGGGGCCAGUCCCGACUCUUUCGGCGGCGCCAGGACCUCCCAUUAGUGGUCGAGGCAGCUCCUUGGCUCCGAGAAGCAUCAGGGAGCCGUAGCCUUGCCAUAAUGGUGCGCAUGAAUGUCCUGGCUGAUGCUCUCAAGAGUAUCAACAAUGCCGAAAAGAGAGGCAAACGCCAGGUUCUUAUUAGGCCGUGCUCCAAAGUCAUCGUCAGGUUUCUCACUGUGAUGAUGAAGCAUGCUGCAACGUGUCACUGAAAGGGCCCUGAACCUAAGAGCUCCUUGGGAUGGAAAGGAGGAUUGUUUUGUCUUGGGCACGAGGUUACAUUGGCGAAUUUGAAAUCAUCGAUGAUCACAGGGCUGGGAAAAUUGUUGUGAACCUCACAGGCAGGCUAAAUAAG